Molecule: ribosomal RNA, 468 nt
Filed under: uncultured bacterium
Lineage: Bacteria
Description: partial 16S ribosomal RNA
Rfam family: Bacterial small subunit ribosomal RNA
Source: RNAcentral
GACGAACGCUGGCGGCGUGCUUAACACAUGCAAGUCGAACGGAAAGGCCCUGCUUUUGUGGGGUGCUCGAGUGGCGAAGGGGGGAGUAACACGAGAGUAACCUGCCCUUGACUUUGGGAUAACUUCAGGAAACUGGGGAUAAUACCGGAUAGGAGCUCCUGCUGCAUGGUGGGGGAUGGAAAGUGUCGGCGGUUGGGGAUGGACUCGCGGCUUAUCAGCUUGUUGGUGGGGUAGUGGCUUACCAAGGCUUUGACGGGUAGCCGGCCUGAGAGGGUGACCGGCCACAUUGGGACAGAGAUACGGCCCAGACUCCUACGGGAGGCAGCAGUGUGGAAUAUUGCACAAUGGGCGGAAGACUGAUGCAGCAACGCCGCGUGCGGGAUGACGGCCUUCGGGUUGUAAACCGCUUUCGCCUGUGACGAAGCGUGAGUGACGGUAAUGGGUAAAGAAGCACCGGCUAACUACGUG